CGCUCUCUUCGGAGGGAGCGGCGGACGGGUGAGUAACGCGUGGGAACGUGCCCUCUUCUGAGGAAUAGCCAUUGGAAACGAUGAUUAAUGCCUCAUACGCCCUUCGGGGGAAAGAUUUAUCGGAGGAGGAUCGGCCCGCGUUGGAUUAGGUAGUUGGUGGGGUAAUGGCCUACCAAGCCUACGAUCCAUAGCUGGUUUGGGAGGAUGAUCGGCCACACUGGGACUGAGACACGGCCCAG
Molecule: ribosomal RNA, 239 nt
Filed under: uncultured bacterium
Lineage: Bacteria
Description: partial 16S ribosomal RNA
Rfam family: Bacterial small subunit ribosomal RNA
Source: RNAcentral